This 796-nucleotide ribosomal RNA is filed under the name uncultured bacterium. RNAcentral describes it as "bacterial SSU rRNA". It matches the Rfam family "Bacterial small subunit ribosomal RNA", at positions 8 to 796 of the family's 1533-position model. The record is from RNAcentral.
AGAGUUUGAUCCUGGCUCAGAACGAACGCUGGCGGCGUGCCUAACACAUGCAAGUCGAGCGCGAAAAGAGCAAUCUGAGUAGAGCGGCGCACGGGUGCGUAACACGUGGGUAAUCUGCCUCGAGGUCCGGGAUAACCUUCCGAAAGGUUGGCUAAUACCGGUUAAGCUCACGGUGACUUCGGUCGCUGAGAGAACAGGGGCCCGAAAGGGUCUCGCCACGAGAUGAGCCCGCGGCCCAUCAGCUAGUUGGUGAGGUAAUGGCCCACCAAGGCUACGACGGGUAGCUGGUCUGAGAGGACGAUCAGCCACACUGGAACUGAGACACGGUCCAGACUCCUACGGGAGGCAGCAGUGGGGAAUUUUGCACAAUGGGCGAAAGCCUGAUGCAGCAACGCCGCGUGUGUGAUGAAGGUCUUCGGAUCGUAAAGCACUUUCGACCGGGACGAACAAGCCUGGCCACACCAGGCCCUGACGGUACCGGGAGAAGAAGCACCGGCUAACUCUGUGCCAGCAGCCGCGGUAAUACAGAGGGUGCAAGCGUUGUUCGGAAUUAUUGGGCGUAAAGCGCGUGUAGGCGGCUUAGCAAGUCGGGCGUGAAAGCCCUCGGCUCAACCGAGGAAGUGCACCCGAAACUGCUGAGCUUGAGUGCCGGAGAGGAUGGCGGAAUACCCCAAGUAGAGGUGAAAUUCGUAGAUAUGGGGUGGAACACCGGUGGCGAAGGCGGCCAUCUGGACGGUAACUGACGCUGAGACGCGAAAGCGUGGGGAGCAAACAGGAUUAGAUACCCUAGUAGUCC